RNAcentral lists this ribosomal RNA (497 nucleotides) under uncultured bacterium. Its description in RNAcentral is "partial 16S ribosomal RNA". It matches the Rfam family "Bacterial small subunit ribosomal RNA", at positions 28 to 508 of the family's 1533-position model. The record is from RNAcentral.
GAUGAACGCUGGCGGCGUGCCUAAUACAUGCAAGUCGAGCGAACAGACGAGGAGCUUGCUCCUCUGACGUUAGCGGCGGACGGGUGAGUAACACGUGGAUAACCUACCUAUAAGACUGGGAUAACUUCGGGAAACCGGAGCUAAUACCGGAUAAUAUAUUGAACCGCAUGGUUCAAUAGUGAAAGACGGUUUUGCUGUCACUUAUAGAUGGAUCCGCGCCGCAUUAGCUAGUUGGUAAGGUAACGGCUUACCAAGGCAACGAUGCGUAGCCGACCUGAGAGGUGGACCGGCAACAUGGGAAGUGAACCACGGCCAAAACCCCUAGGGGAGGCAGCAGAGGGGAUUUUGCGGCAAUGGGCGAAAGUUUGAGGGAGAAACGCCGGGGGGGUAAUGAAGGUUUUCGGAUCAAAAAACUUUUUUAUGAGGAAAGAAAAAAUGUGGAAUAAACUAGGCCCGUCUUGAGGGUACCAAAUCAAAAAGCCCGGGCUAACUCCGGC